RNAcentral lists this ribosomal RNA (376 nucleotides) under uncultured bacterium. RNAcentral's name for it is "bacterial SSU rRNA". It matches the Rfam family "Bacterial small subunit ribosomal RNA", at positions 524 to 898 of the family's 1533-position model. RNAcentral also lists the same sequence under 1 other name. The record is from RNAcentral.
UACGGGGGGUGCAAGCGUUGUUCGGAAUUAUUGGGCGUAAAGAGCGUGUAGGCGGCGUGAUAAGUCAGAUGUGAAAGCCCUGGGCUCAACCCAGGAAGUGCAUUUGAAACUGUCUUGCUUGAGUACGGGAGAGGGAAGAGGAAUUCCUGGUGUAGAGGUGAAAUUCGUAGAUAUCAGGAGGAACACCGGUGGCGAAGGCGACUUCCUGGCCCGAUACUGACGCUGAGACGCGAGAGCGUGGGGAGCAAACAGGAUUAGAUACCCUGGUAGUCCACGCCGUAAACGAUGUUCACUAGGUGUUGGGGGUAUUGACCCCCUCAGUGCCGGAGCUAACGCAUUAAGUGAACCGCCUGGGGAGUACGGUCGCAAGACUAAA